This 263-nucleotide unclassified non-coding RNA is filed under the name plant metagenome. RNAcentral's name for it is "partial contains small subunit ribosomal RNA, internal transcribed spacer 1, and 5.8S ribosomal RNA". The record is from RNAcentral.
UUUCCGUAGGUGAACCUGCGGAAGGAUCAUUAUUGUAUAACCGAGGUGCGAGGGCUGUCGCUGACCCGACAGGUCGUGCACGCCCGAGUGCCCUCACACACAUCCAUCUCACCCCUAUGUGCACCACCGCGUGAGUCCCCCUUUGGCUUGUUCGGAGGGGGGCUUACGUUUUCACACAAACUUUGUAUGCAGUGUAGAAUGUAUUUUUUGUUUUUGCGAUCACGCAAUCAAUACAACUUUCAACAACGGAUCUCUUGGCUCUC